This 500-nucleotide ribosomal RNA is filed under the name uncultured bacterium. RNAcentral describes it as "partial 16S ribosomal RNA". It matches the Rfam family "Bacterial small subunit ribosomal RNA", at positions 30 to 523 of the family's 1533-position model. The record is from RNAcentral.
AUUGAACGCUGGCGGUAUGCUUUACACAUGCAAGUCGAACGGCAGCACGGACUUCGGUCUGGUGGCGAGUGGCGAACGGGUGAGUAAUGUAUCGGAACGUGCCCAGUCGUGGGGGAUAACGUAGUGAAAAUUACGCUAAUACCGCAUACGAUCUAUGGAUGAAAGCGGGGGAUCGCAAGACCUCGCGCGAUUGGAGCGGCCGAUAUCAGAUUAGGUAGUUGGUGGGGUAAAGGCCCACCAAGCCAACGAUCUGUAGCUGGUCUGAGAGGACGACCAGCCACACUGGAACUGAGACACGGUCCAGACUCCUACGGGAGGCAGCAGUGGGGAAUUUUGGACAAUGGGCGAAAGCCUGAUCCAGCCAUUCCGCGUGCAGGAUGAAGGCCCUCGGGUUGUAGACUGCUUUUGUACAGAACGAAAAGGUUUCUACUAAUACUAGGAGCUCAUGACGGUACUGUAAGAAUAAGCACCGGCUAACUACGUGCCAGCAGCCGCGGUAA